Molecule: ribosomal RNA, 256 nt
Filed under: uncultured bacterium
Lineage: Bacteria
Description: partial 16S ribosomal RNA
Rfam family: Bacterial small subunit ribosomal RNA
Source: RNAcentral
UAAUACGAGGGGUGCAAACGUUAUUCGGAAUCACUGGGCGUAAAGGGUGCGUAGACGGCGAAAUAAGUCGAUCAUUAAAUCUCCUGGCUUAACCAGGAGCUCGUGAUCGAAACUGAUUCGCUUGAGGAUGGAAGAGAGAAGUGGAAUUCUCGGAGUAGCGGUAAAAUGCGUAGAUCUCGAGAGGAACACCGAUGGCGAAGGCAGCUUCUUGGUCCAUUUCUGACGUUGAGGCACGAAAGCGUGGGGAGCAAACAGG